GGUCAAGCGAAUAAGCGCACACGGUGGAUGCCUUGGCGGUCAGAGGCGAUGAAGGACGUGGCAGCCUGCGAAAAGUAUCGGGGAGCUGGCAACAAGCUUUGAUCCGGUAAUGUCCGAAUGGGGAAACCCACCCGCUUGCGGGUAUCCUGCAGUGAAUACAUAGCUGCUGGAAGCGAACCUGGUGAACUGAAAUAUCUAAGUAACCAGAGGAAAAGAAAUCAACCGAGAUUCCGUAAGUAGCGACGAGCGAACGCGGACUAGCCCUUAAGCUGGAUUGGUUCUAGGAAAACGCUCUGGAAAGAGCGGCCAUAGAAGGUGAUAGCCCUGUAUCUGAAAGGGCCAUUCCAGUGAAGACGAGUAGGGCGGGGCACGUGAAACCCUGUCUGAACAUGGGGGGACCAUCCUCCAAGGCUAAAUACUACUGACCGACCGAUAGUGAACCAGUACCGUGAGGGAAAGGCGAAAAGAACCCCGGAGAGGGGAGUGAAAUAGAACCUGAAACCGUGUGCGUACAAGCAGUAGGAGCUCCGCAAGGAGUGACUGCGUACCUUUUGUAUAAUGGGUCAGCGACUUACUGUUCGUGGCAAGCUUAACCGUAUAGGGGAGGCGAAGGGAAACCGAGUCUGAUAAGGGCGCAUAGUCGCGGGCAGUAGACCCGAAACCGGGUGAUCUAGUCAUGCCCAGGGUGAAGGUGCGGUAACACGCACUGGAGGCCCGAACCCACUCCCGUUGCAAAGGUAGGGGAUGAGGUGUGAUUAGGAGUGAAAAGCUAAUCGAACCCGGAGAUAGCUGGUUCUCCUCGAAAGCUAUUUAGGUAGCGCCUCAUAUGUAUCCUCUCGGGGGUAGAGCACUGUUAUGGCUAGGGGGUCAUCGCGACUUACCAAACCAUUGCAAACUCCGAAUACCGAGACGGACUGUAUGGGAGACACACGGCGGGUGCUAACGUCCGUCGUGAAAAGGGAAACAACCCAGACCCACAGCUAAGGUCCCAAAUUCACUGCUAAGUGGAAAACCAUGUGGAAAGGCACAGACAGCCAGGAGGUUGGCUUAGAAGCAGCCACCCUUUAAAGAAAGCGUAAUAGCUCACUGGUCGAGUCGGUCUGCGGGGAAGAUUUAACGGGGCUAAGCAGUGAACCGAAGCUUGGGGUGCAUAACUUUGUUAUGCGCGGUAGAGGAGCGUUCCGUAAGCCGUUGAAGGUGGAUUGAGAAGUCUGCUGGAGGUAUCGGAAGUGCGAAUGCUGACAUGAGUAACGUAAUGCGGGUGAAAAACCCGCACGCCGAAAGCCCAAGGUUUCCUUGCGCAACGUUAAUCGGCGCAGGGUGAGUCGGCCCCUAAGGCGAGGACGAAAGUCGUAGUCGAUGGGAAGCAGGUUAAUAUUCCUGCACCUCGCGUAAGUGCGAUGGAGGGACGGAGAAGGUUAGGUGUACCAGGCGUUGGUUGUCCUGGGGAAAGGCGGUAGGUUUGGAUCUUUGGCAAAUCCGGGAUCCUUUAAGACCGAGCACCGAGACGAGCCUUUAUGGCGAAGUCACUGAUACCACGCUUCCAGGAAAAGCUCCUAAGCUUCAGCUUACGCAGACCGUACCGUAAACCGACACAGGUGGGUAGGAUGAGAAUUCUCAGGCGCUUGAGAGAACUCGGGUGAAGGAACUAGGCAACAUGGCACCGUAACUUCGGGAGAAGGUGCACCCUUUUUGGUGGCUCGUGCGAGCUAUAGCUGAAGAGGGUCGCAGUAACCAGGCCGCUGCGACUGUUUAUCAAAAACACAGCACUCUGCAAACACGAAAGUGGACGUAUAGGGUGUGACGCCUGCCCGGUGCUGGAAGGUUAAUUGAUGGGGUCAGCCGCAAGGCGAAGCUCUUGAUCGAAGCCCCAGUAAACGGCGGCCGUAACUAUAACGGUCCUAAGGUAGCGAAAUUCCUUGUCGGGUAAGUUCCGACCUGCACGAAUGGCGUAACGACAGCGGCGCUGUCUCCACCCGAGACUCAGUGAAAUUGAAAUCGCUGUGAAGAUGCAGCGUUCCCGUGGCAAGACGGAAAGACCCCGUGAACCUUUACUAUAGCUUUACACUGAACGUUGAGUUCGUCUGUGUAGGAUAGGUGGGAGGCUAUGAAACUGUGGCGCUAGCUGCAGCGGAGCCAUCCUUGAAAUACCACCCUGUCGUGCUUGACGUUCUAACCUGGGCCCAUUAUCUGGGUCGGGGACCGUGUAUGGUGGGUAGUUUGACUGGGGCGGUCUCCUCCUAAAGAGUAACGGAGGAGCUCGAAGGUACGCUCAGCGCGGUCGGACAUCGCGCACUGUGUGCAAAGGCAUAAGCGUGCUUGACUGCAAGAUCGACGGAUCAAGCAGGUAGGAAACUAGGACUUAGUGAUCCGGUGGUUCUGUAUGGAAGGGCCAUCGCUCAACGGAUAAAAGGUACUCCGGGGAUAACAGGCUGAUACCGCCCAAGAGUUCAUAUCGACGGCGGUGUUUGGCACCUCGAUGUCGGCUCAUCACAUCCUGGGGCUGUAGUCGGUCCCAAGGGUAUGGCUGUUCGCCAUUUAAAGUGGUACGCGAGCUGGGUUCAGAACGUCGUGAGACAGUUCGGUCCCUAUCUGCCAUGGGCGUUGGAGAUUUGAGAGGGGCUGCUCCUAGUACGAGAGGACCGGAGUGGACGAACCUCUGGUGUUCCGGUUGUCACGCCAGUGGCAUUGCCGGGUAGCUAUGUUCGGAAGCGAUAACCGCUGAAAGCAUCUAAGCGGGAAGCGCGCCUCAAGAUGAGAUCUCCCGGGGCACAAGCCCCCUGAAGGAACCAUGUAGACUACGUGGUUGAUAGGUCAGGUGUGUAAGUACAGCAAUGUAUUGAGCUAACUGAUACUAAUGAUCCGUGCGGCUUGACCAU
This 2879-nucleotide ribosomal RNA is filed under the name Stenotrophomonas maltophilia. RNAcentral describes it as "23S ribosomal RNA". It matches the Rfam family "Bacterial large subunit ribosomal RNA". The record is from RNAcentral. Lineage: Bacteria; Pseudomonadati; Pseudomonadota; Gammaproteobacteria; Lysobacterales; Lysobacteraceae.